GAUGAACGCUAGCUACAGGCUUAACACAUGCAAGUCGCGGGGCAGCAUGGGGGUUGCUUGCAAUCCCCGAUGGCGACCGGCGCACGGGUGAGUAACGCGUAUCCAACCUGCCCUUCACCACGGGAUAACCCGGCGAAAGUCGGACUAAUACCGUAUGUUGUCCAUUGACGGCAUCCGAUUUGGACGAAAGGUUUGGCGGUGAAGGAGGGGGAUGCGUCCGAUUAGCUGGACGGCGGGGUGACGGCCCACCGUGGCGACGAUCGGUAGGGGUUCUGAGAGGAAGGUCCCCCACACUGGAACUGAGACACGGUCCAGACUCCUACGGGAGGCAGCAGUGAGGAAUAGUGGUCAAUGGGCGUAAGCCUGAACCAGCCAAGUAGCGUGCAGGAUGACGGCCCUAUGGGUUGUAAACUGCUUUUAUGCGGGGAUAAAGUGGCCCACGUGUGGGUUUUUGCAGGUACCGCAUGAAUAAGGACCGGCUAAUUCCGUG
This 490-nucleotide ribosomal RNA is filed under the name uncultured bacterium. RNAcentral describes it as "partial 16S ribosomal RNA". It matches the Rfam family "Bacterial small subunit ribosomal RNA", at positions 28 to 507 of the family's 1533-position model. The record is from RNAcentral.